GCUGGGUUCAGAACGUCGUGAGACAGUUCGGUCCCUAUCCGUCGUGGGCGUAGGAAAUUUGAGAGGAGCUGUCCUUAGUACGAGAGGACCGGGAUGGACAUACCUCUGGUGUACCAGUUGUCGUGCCAACGGCAUAGCUGGGUAGCUAUGUAUGGACGGGAUAAGUGCUGAAAGCAUCUAAGCAUGAAGCCCCCCUCAAGAUGAGAUUUCCCAACUUCGGUUAUAAGAUCCCUCGAAGAUGACGAGGUUAAUAGGUUCGAGGUGGAAGCGUGGUGACACGUGGAGCUGACGAAUACUAAUCGAUCGAAGACUUAAUCAA
Molecule: ribosomal RNA, 319 nt
Filed under: Staphylococcus epidermidis
Lineage: Bacteria; Bacillati; Bacillota; Bacilli; Caryophanales; Staphylococcaceae
Description: partial 23S ribosomal RNA
Rfam family: Bacterial large subunit ribosomal RNA
Source: RNAcentral